CAGGAACCUAUAUUCUACACCCAAUAAGGUGUUUCUUUAUUAUUUGUUCUUCUUACGUCAUCCUGAAUGCAGCCCUAACCACUGCGUGCACCCCGACAAAGGUGGUAUCAAAAUGUGCAGCUUGAUCCCGAGAAGGGCGUUAUUAUUUUUAGUGGGAUUCUGAGUUAAAAUGACGACAUAAAUUGCGAAAAACGACAAAACCCCGUACAAGUCAAUGGAGGCUCUGUUCUCUGUCAAACACACACAGUCCCAUGGUCGUUUAUUACCAUGGUAACGGCUCCAACUCUGACCACGGGAUAUUAUGGUCUGUCCGACGCAGCUCCAGGUGAGCUUAGCCAUUUAAGCUAAGACACGGUUUGUAGCUGCUUGCUAUUGCAAAGCUUGAGGAUAUUGAAGAUCCAGCGUCAGAAAUGGAAAGACGGAAGUUAAAAGGGAGCUGUGCGCGCUUCGUUCACUGGAAUAAUUUGCUAGAUGAAAAUAAUCCGAGAGGAAAUCCACUGCUACGCAACAGGCUGAGAACAGAAGCAGCGAUUUGACAGCUAAGUUUGCUUCGCAACACCUCAUGAUGUGUUUCUGAGCCAUGAUUGAGCUGCUGUGCUGAUAACCUUUCCAUUGGAUCCAAGCACCUGGACCUGCUGACCAGUACGGCGUCCAUCAGUCCACGGUCUGCCAGAUCAUCACAAAACAGACUAACUUUUUAUUUACAGUACUCAGUUAAAUUAGGAUCUGGAAACCGGAGCACCAGAUAUGCAGAAAUCUACCUGCAGACUUUGUUGGCUACCCUGACUGACAUCCUGGACGGGGCUGAGCCGCUCUUCCUCUUCCUCUCCUCCAAAGUGACGAGUUUUCAUCACUAGUAAAGACAAACAAGUCUGAUGUCUGAUUAGCUGCUAGGAAGUAUAUUAUAUAUUCUCUGUUCAUUUUGUUAUCCUGUUUGUACCAACAAUAAAAUUUAAUCUCAUUUGUAAUACUCUA
This is a long non-coding RNA of Poecilia latipinna (sailfin molly), 975 nucleotides long. RefSeq lists it as uncharacterized. Lineage: Eukaryota; Metazoa; Chordata; Actinopteri; Cyprinodontiformes; Poeciliidae. The transcript is spliced from 2 exons. The record is from RefSeq and is a predicted model, not a curated record.